UACAGAGGUGGCAAGCGUUGUUCGGAAUUACUGGGCGUAAAGGGCGCGUAGGCGGUUCGUUAAGUCCUGUGUGAAAUCCCCCGGCUCAACUGGGGAACUGCACAGGAAACUAGCGGGCUUGAGUUCGGGAGAGGGAAGCGGAAUUCCGGGUGUAGCGGUGAAAUGCGUAGAUAUCGGGAGGAACACCUGUGGCGAAGGCGGCCCCCUGGUUGGAUACUGACGCUGAUACGCGAAAGCGUGGGGAGCAAACAGG
Molecule: ribosomal RNA, 253 nt
Filed under: uncultured bacterium
Lineage: Bacteria
Description: partial 16S ribosomal RNA
Rfam family: Bacterial small subunit ribosomal RNA
Source: RNAcentral